UGUUGUUUUCCUUUUUUAUGGGUUUUGUUUUCCCAUAUUUAUCAAAAUAUUGCUUUUAUAUCCCAUAUUUUUUUGUAUACGUUUUUUUUUUCUAUAGGGGUAUUUUUAUGAGUAAAUUUUUGUCUUUUUAUUUUUAUUAUUAUUUUUAUUAUUUUGGUAAACAUUUUUGUAAGAAAAUUUUAAUUCAGUAGUGGUUUAUUAUGCAUUUAUGUGUAUUUUUGUGAGGGCUUUUUAGUCAUUUUAUGUGUUUUUUUUAUUAUUUUAUUUUAUUUUAUUUUUGAAUUUUUUUUGUAAGGAAAUCAAUUCCUAGUAUGCAUGCAGGUACUUGAGUACCCAGCCUCUAUCACGUUUUUAUCUUCUUCACGUUUUCUGAAUUUUAUUAGUAUAUUUUAUUAAGUAUCACGUUUUCUUCAGUGGUGAUUUGUGUUCUUAGUUUUCGUUCUUGUGUUAGGGUUUAUUUGAGUUCUUUGUUGUCGAUUUUCUGCCCUCUGUGCGUGUGUUUCGUCUCGGUGAGUACCUGGUUUCAGGAUUUUUAUAAGUUUCUCGUUGUGGAUUUGUGCCUCUUUGUGGUGUUUUCGUAUCGUGCAUUGAUAUUUCUCUUGCUCGAAUUUGUGUGAUGGAUCACUGUGGUGAAUGCGGUGGUGUUUCUGGUUCGGAGAAGAAAAUUUCUGGUAUAGUAGAGGAUGAAUCGAAGAAUGUAGGGGAUGAUAUUUGCGAGAUUCUUCCUCGAAGGAGUAACAUUACACAUUUGAAGUCUGUUGCAAGGAAGAAGAGUAAAUCCCCUUCCUCUGUUGCAAGGAAGACAAGUAAAUCGCCUUCCACUGUUAAACAGGCGAAGGAUUCGUGUGCAUCUGGUAGUAAGGAUGCUGGAGAUGAUUCUCAUGAGACUAAACAUGUUGGGGUAUGUGUUUAUUUUUUUAAUUAUUAUAAUAUAAAAUUGUUCAUCUGUUUAUGUUUCUGUUGUUGUGUUUCACAUUGGGUGGAUUCUGUUUGUUUUAUUUUUUUAUGGUUGUGUAUUUGGUUUCUUGUAGUUUUGUAGUUAAUUUGUAUAAUGUUCAAUUCUGUUUUGUGUUUGUUUUAUAGUUAUUGUUGUGUUUUCUUUUGUUGUUAAACUGUUUUUUUUUUGUACCUGGUUACAGGUGGAUUCUAUUUUUUUAAUUUUUUUUAUGGUUGUGUAUCUGGGUUCUUGUAGAUUUGUAGUUAAUUUGCAUAAUCUUAAAUUCUGUUUUGUGUUUGUUUUAUUGUUAUUGCUGUGUUUUUUUUUGUUGUUAAGCUGUUUUAUUAUUUUUUGGUACCUGGUUUCAUGUGUACCUGGUUACAUAUGUACCUGGUUACUUUACAGAUAACAGUGAACGAUGUUGCUUAAUGAGUUUUGAACUUGUUUACCUUAGUGAAUGAAUUGUUUUUUUUUUAUAUGUAUAUUUAAACCAUACAAAGUUAAAUACAUAUAAGUCGUUUUAUAAAUGUAAAGUACUUAUAAAUUUUUCAUGUUUAUAUUUUUUGAAACUGGUUGCAUGUUUAA
Molecule: long non-coding RNA, 1522 nt
Organism: Humulus lupulus (European hop)
Lineage: Eukaryota; Viridiplantae; Streptophyta; Magnoliopsida; Rosales; Cannabaceae
Exons: 3
Source: RefSeq, a predicted model, not a curated record